AACCAGCUCUACAAACAGUAUUUGUUCAUUCUUGCCAUUUUCUGUUUUUGUUGAUACCAUCCCAUACCGGCCAUCAUGCACAUGGGAUCAAAAAAGGAAAUGAGGAAGAAUAUAUUGCUUCCUACUGCUAUGGAUAUCAACUGUAAUUGAAGAUCCAGAGGCACCUGAGAGUUCUCUUUCUUCACUUUGUACUCCCUGAUCACUGAUUUAAAAGGAAGAGAGAUAUGAUUACACAUGAAGCAUGUAAGAAGCAUGCUUUUCUUUCCUGCAUGUGGAAGGCCAUUUAGGCACUCCUGGGGUUGUACUCCACAGCAAGCCGUUGACCUGCUGUACCGAGUCUGGCAUCAAGAGAUCCUUGUGACUGCGCUCCCACGUGACUGCAAUGAUCUGCAAGCUCGCUAGAUUUCUCUACAAACCUCUUCUCCUGCCCGGUUCUUCCACAAAGUGUUAUUUAUCAAUCUGGAUCAAACUUCUCCAGCCUACCCAACCACAUGGACACAAAGGACAUAGGAGAUGACUCAUGGUAGUAGUGAGCCACUGGAGAGGAUGGCUGGAUGGGGC
RNAcentral lists this long non-coding RNA (561 nucleotides) under Struthio camelus australis. RNAcentral describes it as "lncRNA (ENSSCUG00000008415.1)". Lineage: Eukaryota; Metazoa; Chordata; Aves; Struthioniformes; Struthionidae. The record is from RNAcentral.